AUAUAGUAGUUCGUUAAUAAUUCUACACAAAUGGCCGAUAUAUACACAAUAUUCCUCUAAUAUCUAAAGAUUUGUCUCGUAGAUUUGCAACAUUGUUGAAUAGUUUAGGUUGAAUGAGCCAUUACGAGGACAUUGUCCUAGCCUUACUGUUCUCUAUAUUAUACACGUAUAAUCUUUAUGCAUUAUUUAUUACACAGUGAACAACGUGAACAACUACG
Non-coding RNA from Paramuricea clavata, 218 nucleotides. The record is from the annotation of a GenBank genome assembly. NCBI's taxonomy places the organism in Eukaryota, Metazoa, Cnidaria, Anthozoa, Malacalcyonacea, Plexauridae.